RNAcentral lists this ribosomal RNA (235 nucleotides) under Triticum aestivum (bread wheat). RNAcentral describes it as "partial small subunit ribosomal RNA". Lineage: Eukaryota; Viridiplantae; Streptophyta; Magnoliopsida; Poales; Poaceae. The record is from RNAcentral.
CUCGACAAAGCUUCAGAGUGAAACACCUCAAAAUAAUAAUAGUCUGACAUCCAUACAAAGUCCUAUUUUCUCUUAGUUACAUAUAUGUCAGUGACAUCGACAAUAUAAUUAAAGGAUGGUGUAUCUGAUGCGACUAAACAGAUAGAUUAAUCAAUGGCAUGUCGAAAGUUGCAAUGCUCUCAGUGGAUGGAUGGGCUCCUUCAACCGUUGGUGCAUUUGAUAUUCGCAAUUCUUG